This 253-nucleotide ribosomal RNA is filed under the name uncultured bacterium. RNAcentral's name for it is "partial 16S ribosomal RNA". It matches the Rfam family "Bacterial small subunit ribosomal RNA", at positions 524 to 776 of the family's 1533-position model. The record is from RNAcentral.
UACAGAGGGUGCGAGCGUUGUUCGGAAUUACUGGGCGUAAAGCGCGUGUAGGCGGCGGGAUAAGUCGCAUGUGAAAGCCCUCGGCUCAACCGAGGAAGUGCAUGCGAUACUGUUUCGCUUGAAUGCCGGAGGGGAUGGCGGAAUUCCCGGUGUAGAGGUGAAAUUCGUAGAUAUCGGGAGGAACACCUGUGGCGAAGGCGGCCAUCUGGACGGCGAUUGACGCUGAGACGCGAAAGCGUGGGUAGCAAACAGG